GUCGACGGUAACAGGAAGCAGCUUGCUGCUUUGCUGACGAGUGGCGGACGGGUGAGUAAUGUCUGGGAAACUGCCUGAUGGAGGGGGAUAACUACUGGAAACGGUAGCUAAUACCGCAUAACGUCGCAAGACCAAAGAGGGGGACCUUCGGGCCUCUUGCCAUCGGAUGUGCCCAGAUGGGAUUAGCUUGUUGGUGGGGUAACGGCUCACCUAGGCGACGAUCCCUAGCUGGUCUGAGAGGAUGACCAGCCACACUGGAACUGAGACACGGUCCAGACUCCUACGGGAGGCAGCAGUGGGGAAUUUGCACAUGGGCGCAAGCCUGAUGCAGCCAUGCGCGUGUAUGAAGAAGCCUCGGGUGUAAGUACUUCACGGGAAGAGGAGUAAUUAUACUUUCU
This 398-nucleotide ribosomal RNA is filed under the name Escherichia coli. RNAcentral's name for it is "bacterial SSU rRNA". It matches the Rfam family "Bacterial small subunit ribosomal RNA", at positions 61 to 463 of the family's 1533-position model. The record is from RNAcentral. Lineage: Bacteria; Pseudomonadati; Pseudomonadota; Gammaproteobacteria; Enterobacterales; Enterobacteriaceae.